RNAcentral lists this ribosomal RNA (349 nucleotides) under uncultured bacterium. RNAcentral's name for it is "partial 16S ribosomal RNA". It matches the Rfam family "Bacterial small subunit ribosomal RNA", at positions 338 to 704 of the family's 1533-position model. The record is from RNAcentral.
CCUACGGGUGGCUGCAGUAGGGAAUGUUGCGCAAUGGGCGAAAGCCUGACGCAGCAACGCCGCGUGAUAGAGACGGACUUAGGGGUGGAAAGAGCUGUUAGUGGGGACGAAACGGGACGGUACCCACAGAGGAAGAACCGGCUAACUCCGUGCCAGCAGCCGCGGUAAUACGGGGGGUGCAAGCGUUGUCCGGAAUCAUUGGGCGUCAAGAGUUCGUAGGCGGCACGGAAAGUCUGGUGUUAACGGCAGAGGCUCAACUUCUGUACGGCACGGGAGACUUGCGAGCUAGAAUGCGGUAGAGGUAACUGGACUUCCUGGUGUAGCGGUGCAAUUCUUAGCUAUCAGGCGG